RNAcentral lists this ribosomal RNA (440 nucleotides) under uncultured eukaryote. RNAcentral's name for it is "partial 18S ribosomal RNA". It matches the Rfam family "Eukaryotic small subunit ribosomal RNA", at positions 592 to 976 of the family's 1831-position model. The record is from RNAcentral.
CAAUAGCGUAUAUUAAUUUUGUUGCAGUUAAAAAGCUCGUAGUUGGAUUUCUUUUGAAUACUUAGGGUUUGCAUGUUGUAUUAAGCUUUUAUGCUUUAUACCAUGUUCCUAUUAUUCAAAAUAAUUUGUAUAUUUCUGUAUUUGAAAGAUUCAUUAUUAUUUAUUAAUUUAAAUAGUUUUGGAGAUUUCAGUACAUUUUUAAGAAGUAUACAUCGUUUACUGUGAAAAAAUCAAAGCGUCCAAAGCAGGCUUUAUGCUCUCUGAAUGUCUCAGCAUGGAAUAAUAAGAUAGGUUUCAUCCUCAUUUUGUUGGUUUGCAAGGAAGAAAAAUGAUUAAAAGGGACAGUUGGGGGUAUUCGUAUUCGGUUGUCAGAGGUGAAAUUCUUGGAUUUACUGAAGACGAACUACUGCGAAAGCAUUUACCAAGGAUGUUUUCAUUAA